This 296-nucleotide long non-coding RNA is filed under the name Elaeis guineensis (African oil palm). RNAcentral's name for it is "long non-coding RNA (EGUI_LNC023608)". The record is from RNAcentral. Lineage: Eukaryota; Viridiplantae; Streptophyta; Magnoliopsida; Arecales; Arecaceae.
AAUUAUUUAAUUUUUUAUUUUAACUUUAUAAGGAGCAUUCAAGUACGGUUGGUCUCUUCAAGGAUACACACAUAAAGAAGGAUGGUCAAGAACUUAUUAAUAAAAUUACUCAAUCAAAAUUUAUAAAUAUAAGUAAACUUUUUUUAUAUUUUUAUUUAUGAAAAACUUAUCUUGAGGUCUAAAUUAUUUUUGAAAACUUCAUAUGAUGAAAUGAUUGAAUUAAGAUAGCAAUAUUUAGAGGAAGGUAUACAUCAAAUGUCAGAAAAUCAAAUUUUGAUUAAUAUACUUUACAAGAA